This 1166-nucleotide long non-coding RNA is filed under the name Felis catus (domestic cat). RNAcentral's name for it is "lncRNA (ENSFCAG00000052274.1)". Lineage: Eukaryota; Metazoa; Chordata; Mammalia; Carnivora; Felidae. The record is from RNAcentral.
GAAUCUGAAGCAGACUCCAGGCUCUAGGCUGUCAGCACAGAGCCAGAUGCAGGGCUCGAACUUACGAACCCUUGAGAUCAUGACCUAAGCCAAGUCAGACGCUUAACUGACUGGGCAACUCAGGGGUCCCAAAUUUUCUUAUCUCUUAUUGAGUUUUAAGAAUUAUUUAUAUAUUCUUUAAACAAAUCUUUCAUCAAAUAUAUAAUUUGCAACUGUUUUUCCUUGUCUGUGGCUUGCCUUUUCACUGUCUAAAUGGUGUUUUUAAGAGAACAGAUUUUUAAUUUCAGUGAUGUACGAUUAACCAAUUUGUUCUUUUAUGGAUCUUGCUUUUGGUACAGUGUUUAAGAAGUCCUUUUGUAGUGGGGCAGGUGCUGGGUAUUUUAUUGAUGGUACAUGACAAGAAGUGUUGGCCCAAUCUAAGGUCACAAAGCAUUUUUAAUUUGUUUCCUCUUUCUCUUUCUCUUUUCAUUCUUUGGUACCAGGGCCAGAAGUUAUAGAGCGGGUUACUCGAUGUCAGGAGACUUGUUUUCUGCAUGGAACAGCUUUGUGCCAUCUGAUUUGCCAUUUGGAUUUGAUGCAUUAGAAAGAAGGACACUCUUGCAAGGAGAGGAGAGUGCUGUCACCUACUGAACUGCUUCACAAGGAGAAGGCAGAAAAAAAAAAAGUUGUAGAAACAGUUUCUCAUCUGGAUCACUGUAAGAUACAGAGGAUUUACUGGCUGGUACUGGAAUGGUUCAAGAGGGUUUUUUGUUUAACUGAUCAGAGCCUUAAAGCAGAAGAAGAAGGAGAAGGAGAAGGAGGAGGAGGAGGAGGAGGAGGAGAAGGAGAAGGAGAAGGAGAAGAAGAAGAAGAAGAAGGAGGAGGAGGAGAGGAAGAAAGAAGAAGAGGGGGAGAGGGGGGGGAAAUAGGAAUUUCAGUAUAUCUACCUUACUCCAUUUGUUCCAUUUUGCUUCAAAUAGGUUUUAUGAUGAGUUGGCAUUUUAAAAUAAAUAUCCUAUUAGUCUGAUGAGAGGAGGAGAACACACUGACAUGUGAUUUGAAGAAAAAUUUAGGUUUGAAUGGAAAAUAAGUUUCGAUGAUAUUAUAGUAACUGCCUUAUUCUUCGAACAUUAUUUUCUGAGAACAAAGAAAAUAAAUAUAACCUUUCUUUCCUCCUUCCUUUCUUG